This 252-nucleotide ribosomal RNA is filed under the name uncultured bacterium. Its description in RNAcentral is "partial 16S ribosomal RNA". It matches the Rfam family "Bacterial small subunit ribosomal RNA", at positions 524 to 776 of the family's 1533-position model. The record is from RNAcentral.
UACGUAGGUGGCGAGCGUUAUCCGGAAUGAUUGGGCGUAAAGGGUGCGUAGGCGGCCUGCUAAGUCUGGAGUGAAAGGUACCGGCUCAACCGGUACAGGCUCUGGAAACUGGCGGGCUAGAGAGCAGGAGAGGGCGGUGGAACUCCAUGUGUAGCGGUAAAAUGCGUAGAUAUAUGGAGGAACACUAGUGGCGAAGGCGGCUUCCUGGUCUGCAACUGACACUGAGGCGCGAAAGCGUGGGGAGCAAACAGG